GACGAACGCUGGCGGCGUGCUUAACACAUGCAAGUCGAACGGAAAGGCCCUGCUUUUGUGGGGUGCUCGAGUGGCGAACGGGUGAGUAACACGUGAGUAACCUGCCCUUGACUUUGGGAUAACUUCAGGAAACUGGGGCUAAUACCGGAUAGGAGCUCCUGCUGCAUGGUGGGGGUUGGAAAGUUUCGGCGGUUGGGGAUGGACUCGCGGCUUAUCAGCUUGUUGGUGGGGUAGUGGCUUACCAAGGCUUUGACGGGUAGCCGGCCUGAGAGGGUGACCGGCCACAAUGGGACUGAGAGACGGACCAGACUCCUACGGGAGGCAGCAGUGGAGAAUAUUGCACAAUGGGCGGAAGCCUGAUGCAGAAAAGCCGCGUGCGGGAUGAGGGCCUUCGGGUUGUAAACCGCUUUAGCCUGUGACGAAGCGUGAGUGACGGUAAUAGGUAAAGAAGCACCGGCUAACUACGUG
RNAcentral lists this ribosomal RNA (468 nucleotides) under uncultured bacterium. Its description in RNAcentral is "partial 16S ribosomal RNA". It matches the Rfam family "Bacterial small subunit ribosomal RNA", at positions 28 to 507 of the family's 1533-position model. The record is from RNAcentral.